AUGGAGGUGCUGCUGUUCUGCUACGCCAACCUCAUCCUACAGCCCUCCGUCGCCCCACUAGCAAGCUGCAAGGGGCACAAUGCUAGUAGGCAAGCUAGCACACAUGGAUUCGUGAACUGGCUUGGAUGUGUUCUUGGUCGUCUGGGUUGGAUGAGGACGAUGGAAACGAUGUCUUCCUCACCGGCGAUGGCAGGAGCGCAUGAUAGACUUCUAAAUGGACAAGUAUCUGCAACGUUCAGUGUCAAUGAUGAUGCUUACCAGAUAUUCUACUGUAGCCCCAUCCAUAUCAUCGACGUGAAGUCAGAUCUACUCGUCCUGAAAUUGAUGGCCUGA
Molecule: ribosomal RNA, 333 nt
Filed under: Triticum aestivum (bread wheat)
Lineage: Eukaryota; Viridiplantae; Streptophyta; Magnoliopsida; Poales; Poaceae
Description: partial small subunit ribosomal RNA
Source: RNAcentral